CUUGACAUCCAGAGAACUUGGCAGAGAUGCCUUGGUGCCUUCGGGACCUCUGAGACAGGUGCUGCAUGGCUGUCGUCAGCUCGUGUUGUGAAAUGUUGGGUUAAGUCCGCAACGAGCGCAACCCCUAUCCUUUGUUGCCAGCGAUUCGGUCGGGAACUCAAAGGAGACUGCCGGUGAUAAACCGGAGGAAGGUGGGGAUGACGUCAAGUCAUCAUGGCCCUUACGAGUAGGGCUACACACGUGCUACAAUGGCGCAUACAAAGAGAAGCGACCUCGCGAGAGCAAGCGGACCUCAUAAAGUGCGUCGUAGUCCGGAUCGGAGUCUGCAACUCGACUCCGUGAAGUCGGAAUCGCUAGUAAUCGUAGAUCAGAAUGCUACGGUGAAUACGUUCCCGGGCCUUGUACACACCGCCCGUCCCACCAUGGGAGUGGGUUGCAAAAGAAGUAGAUAGCUUAACCUUCGGGAGGGCGUUUACCACUUUGUGAUUCAUGACUGGGGUGAAGUCGUAACAAGGUAGGCGUAGCGAG
This 528-nucleotide ribosomal RNA is filed under the name uncultured bacterium. RNAcentral's name for it is "bacterial SSU rRNA". It matches the Rfam family "Bacterial small subunit ribosomal RNA", at positions 980 to 1509 of the family's 1533-position model. The record is from RNAcentral.